RNAcentral lists this long non-coding RNA (382 nucleotides) under Gossypium barbadense (sea-island cotton). Its description in RNAcentral is "long non-coding RNA (GBAR_LNC023305)". The record is from RNAcentral. Lineage: Eukaryota; Viridiplantae; Streptophyta; Magnoliopsida; Malvales; Malvaceae.
GGUAAAAAGCCAGAUGUAUCGGCUGCCAAACGUUUGAUGGAGUCUGAGACUUGCUUUAUAGAAGGCUCCAAUGCUUCAAGCUUGUCAUACCAACCACCACAGGUUACAUAAAUUGGAGGGCCGCAUCGUCUCAAAAAUUGGGUAAAUUGGGUUUCAAAGUUUUUCUUCUUUGAUCUUUUCCAAGAUUUUCCAAUGGUAACACAUUUACUGAGCCAACUGUUUAUGGCUUUCAGAUAAGCUUUCAGGGCACCAAUCCACUUUGUAAAACUCGAACACAGCAAGCUUAGUUCAUGUUCGAGAUGAGCGGUGACAUGCCGAUGUGAUUCUGACAGCACAGAGAUUCUCAUGAUGCCAUUCUUGUAUGCAACUGAGAUGAUUUGAA